This 108-nucleotide small RNA is filed under the name Epilithonimonas hominis. Its description in RNAcentral is "Chryseobacterium hominis Flavo-1 RNA". Lineage: Bacteria; Pseudomonadati; Bacteroidota; Flavobacteriia; Flavobacteriales; Weeksellaceae. The record is from RNAcentral.
CCAUAGCCCAUGGUAGCAGCAUUUUUUUUUAUUGCGGUUUUACAAUGUUGAAGAGAUUGCUUCACUUCGUUCGCAAUGACAAAAAAGAUAUAGCGGACAGCACGUUCC